Molecule: ribosomal RNA, 1343 nt
Filed under: uncultured bacterium
Lineage: Bacteria
Description: 16S ribosomal RNA
Rfam family: Bacterial small subunit ribosomal RNA
Source: RNAcentral
GACGAACGCUGGCGGCGUGCUUAACACAUGCAAGUCGAACGGAAAGGCCCUGCUUUUGUGGGGUGCUCGAGUGGCGAACGGGUGAGUAACACGUGAGUAACCUGCCCUUGACUUUGGGAUAACUUCAGGAAACUGGGGCUAAUACCGGAUAGGAGCUCCUGCUGCAUGGUGGGGGUUGGAGAGUUUCGGCGGUUGGGGAUGGACUCGCGGCUUAUCAGCUUGUUGGUGGGGUAGUGGCUUACCAAGGCUUUGACGGGUAGCCGGCCUGAGAGGGUGACCGGCCACAUUGGGACUGAGAUACGGCCCAGACUCCUACGGGAGGCAGCAGUGGGGAAUAUUGCACAAUGGGCGGAAGCCUGAUGCAGCAACGCCGCGUGCGGGAUGACGGCCUUCGGGUUGUAAACCGCUUUCGCCUGUGACGAAGCGUGAGUGACGGUAAUGGGUAAAGAAGCACCGGCUAACUACGUGCCAGCAGCCGCGGUGAUACGUAGGGUGCGAGCGUUGUCCGGAUUUAUUGGGCGUAAAGGGCUCGUAGGUGGUUGAUCGCGUCGGAAGUGUAAUCUUGGGGCUUAACCCUGAGCGUGCUUUCGAUACGGGUUGACUUGAGGAGGGUAGGGGAGAAUGGAAUUCCUGGUGGAGCGGUGGAAUGCGCAGAUAUCAGGAGGAACACCAGUGGCGAAGGCGGUUCUCUGGGCCUUUCCUGGCGCUGAGGAGCGAAAGCGUGGGGAGCGAACAGGCUUAGAUACCCUGGUAGUCCACGCUGUAAACGGUGGGUACUAGGUGUGGGGUCCAUUCCACGGGUUCCGUGCCGUAGCUAACGCUUUAAGUACCCCGCCUGGGGAGUACGGCCGCAAGGCUAAAACUCAAAGGAAUUGACGGGGCCCCGCACAAGCGGCGGAGCAUGCGGAUUAAUUCGAUGCAACGCGUAGAACCUUACCUGGGUUUGACAUGGAUCGGGAGUGCUCAGAGAUGGGUGUGCCUCUUUUGGGGUCGGUUCACAGGUGGUGCAUGGCUGUCGUCAGCUCGUGUCGUGAGAUGUUGGGUUAAGUCCCGCAACGAGCGCAACCCUUGUUCACUGUUGCCAGCACGUUAUGGUGGGGACUCAGUGGAGACCGCCGGGGUCAACUCGGAGGAAGGUGGGGAUGACGUCAAGUCAUCAUGCCCCUUAUGUCCAGGGCUUCACGCAUGCUACAAUGGCUGGUACAGAGAGUGGCGAGCCUGUGAGGGUGAGCGAAUCUCGGAAAGCCGGUCUCAGUUCGGAUUGGGGUCUGCAACCCGACCUCAUGAAGUCGGAGUCGCUAGUAAUCGCAGAUCAGCAACGCUGCGGUGAAUAAGUUCCCGGG